Long non-coding RNA from Perognathus longimembris pacificus (Pacific pocket mouse), 1394 nucleotides. RefSeq lists it as uncharacterized. NCBI's taxonomy places the organism in Eukaryota, Metazoa, Chordata, Mammalia, Rodentia, Heteromyidae. The record is from RefSeq and is a predicted model, not a curated record. The transcript is spliced from 3 exons.
CUCUAGCCUUGAGCAAAGAAGCUGAGGGACAGCACCCAGGCCCUGAGUUUCAAGCCCCAGGACUAGCCAAAAAAAAAAGAAAACUAGAAGCUGGAUAUCUGUGGCUGAUGUCUGUAAUUGUAGCUAUUUGGGAGGCUGAGAUUGUUGGGAUCAUGGUUGCAGUCCAGAGAAAAAGUUUGUGAGGUCUUUUUUCAACAGGAAAGAAGAAUAUAUCUAUGAAAAAGUAAAUAUUUUCCAGUAACUUCACUGUGGAGCCAAGCAUGACAAACAUUAAUGAAGUGAUCAAGAUUAACUCUUCAGUGAUGCCAUUUAGUUAGCACGAUACAUACUGAAGGGCACUUGAUUUCUUUCCAUAAACUCAAAUACAUGAGAUGACAAAUAGAUUUGGUCAGGAUAGGAGGGGAUUAUUGGAGACCCAGUAAGUUGCUACCUUCCCAUUUCCUUGGUUAGUUUUGUAUCUCCUUAAGCUUUAUAUGGCUGUGACUCAGUUAACUACAUGUUCUGGAAAAUUAAUGGUAGCUAUUAUUAUGGACUGGGGGUGUGUGGCUUCAGAAACUAGAUCGUGAGUAUAGUAUUAAAUACACUUAAGUUCUUAGUAUAAAAGGUCAUUAAUAUUUUUAGUUUUAUUGACCAAGUGGCUCCAGUGUGAUUUGAGACAAUGUUUUGCUAUACAGCUCAGGCCUUGCCCAAACUUCAUUUAGUUUCCAGGAUUGGCUUGCCCUGGAGACCCUUCUGCCCUUGGCCUCCAGUGCUGGGAUUACACAUCAUGCCUUUUUUCUUAAAAACAGCUUUAGCAGAUAAGAGUUAAACAGUACUUCACUGACUUCCUGUGAAGUUCUGUUGAAAGAAGUUCCCUUGUAUCUAUUUUUAAAGCUAGUUACCAUGACCAAAGGAUGCUGUUGCUGAGUUAUAAAUGUCUUCUCAGUGUGUUCUCAGUUCUAUGGUGACGCUAGUGUUUGUCUAUAGUUGUUUUUUUGUUGUUUCCUGUGUUGUAAUAAGCUCAAAUAAGCCCACCAAGAUUCCUUGGUGUCUUUAUACACUAAGGCAGAUUCUGCCCUUCACAUCGCAGAUACUGAGCCCUGAGUCUAAGGCUUUAAAAUAUUAUUGAACGGAAUUUCUAUUAAGAUCUGUUGCAAAGUACUCUGACAGUAAUUAUUUCCUGUUACAACGUGUGAUGCUUAUGGAGCACAUUUUUGGUUUUAAGAAAUGUAUGCUGGCUCAUGGGGGAGGUGAUGUAGAGUAGGAGAAUGCCUUGGAUUGAUCUUCAGGAACUAUUUUAGUCAGUACUUUGAACUACAUGUAGGCAUCUAGUGCCAUUAUAUCCUUGGGGUCAAUAGCUUUUCCUUUUUUGCAGCUUACUUUACAAGUUUUUAUGAAAGCUUUCUGUCCACUGU